AUCCAACUGACAAAUCCCAAACAGGAUGAAACGCACGUCCUCUAU
Non-coding RNA from Schistosoma haematobium, 45 nucleotides. The record is from Rfam. Lineage: Eukaryota; Metazoa; Platyhelminthes; Trematoda; Strigeidida; Schistosomatidae.